GAAUGGAAACCACAGUCUGCUGCUUCUUGCUAGGCCUAAGCCUUAGGCAAGGCUUAUUCUUAGUUUGAAAGCUUCUCCAUAAAUUUUAUCCCUCUUUAUGAUGCUUUCUUUGAUUUUGCUCUCAUCUCUUGUCCUGCAUCAAAAUGAAUGGAAUAACUCAAAUCAGAUAGCGAUUAUUCCAAUUAAACUAAAAAAUGGACAAUAAAGAUGAUGUUUUUGCACAUUAUCAAUGUCCCCCACACUUAUCUUGUGCUUGCCCUCAAGCACUUCAUAAUGCAAAUCAUUAAUUUUCAUACAACUAUUUAACCAACAUCUAAACACAACAUGAGAGUUUUGUAAAAUUUUUCAGCACUAAAGUUUUUAAUUGAGAGAAACAGCUAAUACUGAGCAGAACAGCCACCAAACCUAUCUAGAAAUAAGAAUUUCAUACAAUUGGUUCAUACUAAAAAUAAUAAAUUUAUUUGUGACUAACUUGAGCACUUUUGCUUUCUUGAAUCAUUAUCAACUUUUUGACGCGAGGGUGAACAUUUGUGACGAAUGCACCCAGUUACUCAGCUGCUCACAGGUUCAAGUGGCUACUAGCAUUACUCAUGGUCGUUCGGCUUGAAUUGUCACCAAUAUUUUGAUACGAAGGUAAACAUUUGUGAUAAAUGCACUCAGUUACUCAACUGGUCACAUAUUCAGAUGACUAGGAAUAGAUUAUUUAUGCUCACUUUUCUUUCUCUUUUUCUUUAACAAAUACCAGACAUGAAUCGUAUAAUUCAUACAAAUCUAGAUAGGUUAUAGUAGGGUUCUUCCUAAGUAUUGACAUUCACUCAGAAGUAAGAGAAAAUUAAAUUUUUAUUAAUGACAAUCUGUAGACAAGUCAUGUUUAGGAUACAUGAUUAAAAAUGAUUAUUCUUAAUGUGAAAAGAUGAAAAACCAUUUAUGAUUCCAAGGAGAUGGUUGUAAGUUAUAAUUCAAUUUUUGAAAUAUCUCAUUUAAGUUGUUUUUAAAAUAACUAAAAUAGUUGUGAAGAAGGUUGGGGUGAGAGUUGCUGACAAUGUGUGUGUAUAUGGUUUUGGCAUGGCUAAAGGUAUGAAAGAGUGAAUAUUGAAAACAUGGCUAUCCUAAAACUUGAAGGUGCAACAUGUACCUAAACUCGUACCUAAGCUCCCCUAUACUUAAAUGACACAUUGUCCUUAAUGUGAUACAAUGCAAGGUGAAUAAGUGNN
RNAcentral lists this long non-coding RNA (1214 nucleotides) under Carica papaya (papaya). RNAcentral describes it as "long non-coding RNA (CPAP_LNC006872)". The record is from RNAcentral. Lineage: Eukaryota; Viridiplantae; Streptophyta; Magnoliopsida; Brassicales; Caricaceae.